AAGAACAAAUAUAAAUGCUCUUAACGAAUGGAUACAGAAAACAUAAAAUUCUAACUAAACAAAUCUCAAAAGAAAGAAAGAGGAUGAGAUGAAGAAGUUGCAAAGAGAGGAAGAAGUUAUAAGGAAAGACGAGAUGAAAGGUCUUGAGUUCGAGCACUGGAUAUAAAGUUGUCUUUGAUAAGGUGCGUUUUAUCCCUCAUACGUAGUGAAAUUUCACACAUGAAUCUGAAUAACUACGUAACACCAAGUGAAAAGCUAAAGAAACAUAAAUAUGCCUAGAGAAAACAGAUUAAAACCUUAAUCAAGAGAGAAAAAAGAGAAGGAACCUAUAUUUUGAGAGAAAGGAGGAAAAAGAAGAAAAACCUCACCAAGAGGAAAAGAAGAGAAGGAAUUGUGUAUUUUUCCAGAGAAAAGAGGUGAUCGUUCAAUUUGAUCCUCGGUUGAAUACCUAAUUUUCUUUAAUUGAGGACUUUUUCAUUAUUAUUUUAAUUAAAAAAUGCUAGUCGCAGAGGAAUACCACGUUAAUUUACUUAUUUUUAUUUAAUUAUUAUUAUUGUUAGUUUACUUUAGUUAUCUUUAUCGAAUAUAUUAUGCAAUCGUCCGUUGAUUCAUCAAUUUAGUCUUCCUCAUAAGACCCACAUGGUUUGUUCCCCUUUGAUUUUCUCUCAAUUUUUUUUUAAAGUAAUUUUUUGAUUCUAAUUAAUCUCAAUUAUGUCGAUUUUAAAUUAGGAUAAUUUAAAAAUCAUUCUGUCAUUCGUCUUGAGAUCAUUAAGAUUGCAAUUUAGCUCUUGUUUAAUAUAAUGUUCAUUUGUCGUGUGCAACGAAAUGAGCGGACCCAAUCCACCAACUACCAUCUCUUUUCUUCCCGCCAUCAACUUCAAUUAUUUUUAAUAAUAAUAAUAAUAAUAAUAAUAACAAUAAUAAUAAUAAUAUCACUCUUUUGUUUUGUUAACGUGAUUAAGAUUAAUUAAAGCUCAAAUGAUACGUAAAAUUGAUUUCUUCUUUGUUUUUCCCGCACAACCACUUAAUUUGUUUUCACGGGUAGCUGAUAAUCUUUUCCAAGUCACGGAUCUACAGUAAAAAAAAUAAAUUACUGUUAUUAGUUUUCACAUGACAUGAUAGUUUAAUACUUUUGUAUGAUAAAAGGCAAUCAAUCCGUUCUAUUUUAUAUUUUACGUGACAUUUUUUCUUUAUUAGUUUGUUUUAAUAAGAUAUAUACGAGUUCAGAAUCUACCGGGGCAACUUUUUGAAGAGAUGGGAAAUUUUUCUGUGUGUUUCGUCAUUCAAUAAUACAUGUAUAUCUACAAGUAUGGGUAGAAUAUAAAAAGAACAAAAUAAAUUAUAACAGGAAACUAAAUAUCACAACAUAUCUUGUGUUAUACUAGGAAAAUAUUACAAAUAUUUAUAGUUAAUAAGAAUUUUGAGAAUCUGAUUUGUAAUCAUCCGAAUGGACAUAUAUUCUUCGGCUGAAGUGAAUUGGGUGAUAUUGUUGGACAAUAAAAUUCUCGAGACCAAAAAUAAUAGCCGAGACAAGAAAAAUACUGCAACAAUCGAUUUAUUGAUUUCAAUAAGUGAGUGUUACAAUCUCUAUGAUUCUUCUGAUUCGCCUUUUCAACUAUAAAUUCAAGGGCUUCGAGCUUGAUCUUGAACUUUAACUUGAACUUGACGGAUUUGAUCUUGACUUGUGCUUGAAUCCAAGGGCUUGGUAGCUUGUUCUUGAAUCUUGCGAUUUUGAUCUUGAACUUGCACUACAAAAAAAAGCGUUUUAGCCACGUGCAAAAUCAUGGCUAAAUGGUACCAAAACCGUGGCUAAAUAGUUUAGCCACGGUUAUAGGUGUGCCCAACAAGGGCGUGGCGAGUAAAUUAGCCACGAUUUUCACGUCCGUGGUAACAUUUCACUAGCCACGGUUUUUGGGUGCAUUUAGCCACGGCCAUUCCAUGGGUAAUUUGUUUAGUUUUUUUGCUAUCAUAUAAAUUAGCCACGGUUUUAACCGUGGCAAAAAUGCCCAAUUUCUAAAAAUAUAUAUUUUUUUGCAUAUCAAUUAGCCACGAUUUUAACCGUGGCAAAAAUGCCCAAAUUUUUCUAAAAAUAUAUAUAUUUGCAUAUAAAUCCCAGCUCUUUAUAUAUANNNNNNNNNNNNNNNNNNNNNNNNNNNNNNNNNAUAAUUAUCAAAGUUCUGAUAUUGUUCAAUAUAUUGUCACAAAAGAUAAGGUCCAAACCUUAAAUAUUCAUAAAAGAUACCACAAAUACUAAUGUUAAAAGUUAAAGAAAUACCAUAUAUAUCAUUUGUUCUAAAAUAUACUAAAGGCUAAGAAGAUUAGUUCAAAGUAGGCAAUUCACUACCAAAUUUAGAUUGCAAAAAUCUAUGAAGAGUUGCCAAGUGAUUCUCAUUUUGCACAAGCUUUUCUUUGGUCUCUUCAUAUCCAGACAACUUUUCUUUCAAGGUUUCUACCUGUUUCUCAAGGUCUUCAACACGCUGACGAGAUAUACUGCUUGAGCUACCAAGAUUUACAUAACUAUUUCUAGACAUUCCAAAAGUUUUUGAAGGACAAACAUUACCACCUAAACUACGCACACGUUCAGAAUGUUCAGAUUCAAACACUUUUUCAAUGGCAUCGUUAGGAUGAGCUAGUAUCUUCAAAGGAACUCCAUAACUGAUAACAAGUUCCUGAUCUUCAGGUAGAUGCUCCGAUAUUUUAGCCUAAAUAUAUAAAUGAAGUCCAGUUAAUUUAGAAGUUUUCAAUUCCCAAUAUCCUCAUUUUAAGAGAAACUGCAAUGUAAUGGAAAUAGCAUAUCAAUCUUGAGACGAAAAUGUUUUAAGCUCAGUUCACAGAGUAAACAAGGUUAUUGCCCUGAAGGAAGCUCGCUAAUAACAAUAACACCAAUAACUAACUUAGCAAGAACAUAACUAAUUUCAAAGGUAGCCGAUCAAUUGAUAACUAGCACAGGAUAGCGUCAGAAGUAAAAGAACAAUUAAUAACAAACAUUUACGAGACUACAUUUUUGCAGCAACACAAAGAGAAAAGCGGAUGUCAACUUAGAUGUUCAAAAAAGUUGUUCACUGCAGAUUGAAAAUAAAGGAAAAGAUAUGACACUUCAAACAGUUAUCAGUGUCACUGCCUUUAACCACAACCAUUUUAUAAGACACUCAAGUAAGUGAGGACUAGCAAUCUUUCAAGACCCAAGUCCAUUCACGAUACUGAAUUGCACUACACAAUUUUCAAGUUGCAUCAAAAUGGUACAUCAUUUCAACUCUCAAUAAUUAAAACCAUACAGAUAUCGAACCAUAGAAUUCCAUUGAAGAGAAAACGCUAUGAGCUAUUAUGAACCACGCGGAAUCCCUCCCUAACAAUGAACUUGAAUUUUCUUUCUCCUAAAUCUCUUACUAGAAGCUAUAGGAUAUUUGCAUAAUAACUUUAUACCCUUCAAAAUAUCAACUCAGCAACUGGUUGAAGCAACUGCCCAUCACCCUCAUGAUUUAACAGUAAGGGAACGUUUCAUAUCUUUAAUGUCAAACAUUCAGGUUCCUCAGUCUCCCAUUCUUAAAGAGCAGACAACAAGUUUUAAAAAUUUACCAAGAAAGGCUUAUUAGAUCAGAGAAAUCAACCAUAAGCUUAGAGUGAAAGGUUAAACUUUUUAGUAAAUGGUUAACAGGGAAACAACUCCUUUUUAGUUAUUAGUUAACAAGGAAACAACCCCAUCAAACAUGCAUAAUUGUCAUACCUACGACCUUUUGGGCACAAACAUUUUACUUGUACAAUUUGUUUCUUCAGUUUCUUACCAUUUAAGGACCAAACAGGUAUACGAAUUUCUAGGAAAGACACAAUUGUCAUAUAGUUAUGGGGAACUAGAAAUCCACUUAAAAACUGUUUUAGUAAUAUUUUCAAGACUUUGACUCUUCAUUAUAAAUGCAGAUCCCACAUGCAAGAUACAAAUCGGAAAGACAUUUUAGAGAUCUUGGAGAUAGUAGCCUCUUAUCAUACCACAACAACACAUAAAUAACAGAAAAGUUCAAGAAUCCCCUAAAGCUCAAAACUUGAUCCCCAAAUACCCAAAACAAACACAUAAACAACAUAAAACAUCAAGAAUCUCCAAACAAACAUUCUUGAAACAUAAUGUACUCAUAAAUCUCACAUAUUUGGUACAAACAUUUGUGAUAGCUAGCGGGGUAAAAUUAGACAUGAAUAAAUCAACAUUAAAACUGAAAUUUGAAUAUGGAUAAGUAUAUGAAUCUUACCGCUAAAAUCUUUCCUUCUUCAUUUACAAAAUUUCCAUCAUUCUUCAGUAAAGUUGACAAAACAACCUUACUUCGACACACAGGCCGUCCCAAUUUUUAUUCCUUCCAUUAACCAAUUAUAUAUAAAUAAAAAAUAAGUAACAUGAAACACAUUUUAUAAAAUGAUUUUGAAAUAAAAUUUAAAAUUAAGAAACUUACCAUUUGACAACCUCUCCUUGCAUUGCUUUUGCUACCACCAGCAUGCGAGACUUUAAGUUUCUUUCUAUUUUUUGCAUUUUGUGCAAAUUGUUUCUGCAAUUCUCAAACAUCAAUUCAAUUAUAAGUAGUAGAGGGGCACAAACACCAAAUUAUACAAAAAAAAUCUUGAGUGAUUAUUUAACCCACUACCUUCAUCUUCUCCUCAUUAUAGUGAUGCACAAAAGCAGUCCAAUCAACAACAGAAUCAAUGUUUUUGAGAGUUUUCUCAAGUAGCUCUUCUUUACUUUUGUUGGGAUAGAAGUUGUCAUUUAGUAACUUAUAUUUGAAGGACUUCCACCUAUCGCGUAAAGAUUGCAUAACCCAAUCAACUCCAGCUUCAUAAUCAAACUUGAAAUGCUCCUUCAAAUUUGGUUGUAUUCAUAAAUUAAUAUAUAUCAAUAAAAAAAAUAAACUAAUUGAAUGACCAUAAAGUUAGGUAGUUACCUCAAUAAGCUCCCACAUUAAUUGUUUUUCUCUUUUGGCAUUCUAUCCCAUCUCACAACGGAUAUAGGAUAAAAUAUAGACUUUUGAGAAAGUCUGCCAAGAAAUCUCACAAGCAAGUUUGAACCAUUAUCACUUUCUUGUCCAUCUCCAUUGAGUUCCACCAUGACUUUUCUAUUUUUUCUAAGUUCCAAACUCGAUCUACUUUCAUCUUUUGAGUUGUAAUUUCACCGGUCGAAGUAUCUACCAUUUUAACAAGCAAUUAGCUUUAAUCGAAAGUAAUAAUAACAAAAAAAAUAAAGAAUAAAAUGAAAUUACUUCUAACCUUUAAUAUUGACAAGUAGUGGCUUCUCUUUCACUUUCGAGCUAGCUUCAUUGGAGUUUAAAGAAGAAAUUAAAUUGUCAUCACUGAGAGUAGGAGUUGUCAUAUUCUCAUUCACAACAUGAUCCUCUUCUUGAUCCAAAUCUUGGGAAGUUAUGUUAUGGUUGUCAGUUUUCCAUCCUCGUAGGCUCGCUAACAAUGAAUGUGUUGAGUUCUUGCAUUUUUACUUCAUAUUUUUCUAGAAUAUGAGAAGAACAUAUUUAUUCUACUAUAUCAUUUCAAAUGAAAGUUUGGCAUUUUCUACUAGCUUUAGUAAGCAGUAGUCACUGUUUUGAUACUUUUUCUUUAUUUUACCUGCCAAAUGAAAUCUGCAACAUCAAACUAUAAGAAUAUGCAAGUGGAAAAGAGAAAAAAAAGGAACCAAAAGUAAAGAGGACCCACCAUUUCAGCGUACCUAUCAUUAAGAACAAAGACCCACAACUACGGAGAAGUAGUAAUAAGGGCAUCCAUAGCCUCAACCAUAUACACUAUAUUAGCCGUACAAGCUGGUGUUUCGGUCUACCUCUAUGAACCUUAUUGUUAUUUCACUUUUUCUCUUUUGACCUUUGGGUAUAUAGAAGUACAUAAGUGGCAAUAGGAAUAACCAAUUUGUACCUCUGUUCUGAGCUUUUGGAGACUGAUGAUCUUGUUUUGGUUAUGCUUAGAAACAUUGAUUAGUAGGUUUGAGUUGUUUAUAGUCUCCAAGAACAAUUACUAGUAAGGUUAAAAUGAAAAAGUUAAUAAUUAUAUCAGAUAUUAUUGUAUCACCUUAAAUAAUAUCAAGUUUCUAAUGAGGGAUAAGUUCUGCACUACACGUACAUCUUGCUAGUAGGGUAGGAGUCUUGUAACCGGUAUUAGUAGUUGUAGUACUACACUAACUAGUAAUUUCUAGUUCUUUUUGUUAUGUUGAUGUUUGUUGAUCGGGUAGAUCGAUGGUAGUAGUAUGUGGUACUUUUAUUCUGUUAACAUCUAUUGUUUUGUUACCAUAUCUAGCUUCUUGUACUCAUAUCACUAAUGUCUUUUGUCUUGGACUAUGUACACUCUACCCUGCCAAAACUAUGUAUAAUCAUUGUCUUUUCAUGAUUCGACUAGUAUAAACAUAGAAGACAAAAAUCAAAUAGAAUCUCAAAAUAGAUGGAAUAUAUUCACUGAACAAGCAUUCAUAUAUCUGUCAUGACAUGUUAAUACACCAAAAAAGAACGAAGAAAACAAAUGUCAUACAAUCAGAUGUUUAUUUUUAGAUUAUUAUAAUUGACGCUUUGCAGUUGUCAGAUUAUCUUCAAGAUCAUCAAAUUUUAGUUAAAACAGACUGAGACAAAAUACACUCAGCGGCAAUAUUCAAAAAUCUUUUACACAAUCAGCUAACCAGAAGAAAUGAUUCAGCUAAGUCUUAAUUUUGCAGAGAAAUCUCUCCAUUUUAAAGCAAUUCUGAGUGAUACUGCUUCUAAUCUUUGUCUGGUGGCUAGAGAUGCUGUUAAAAGACUUUUUUGUUUUUUUAUAUAUAAGUAAUGUAAAGACUUUUGUAUUACUUCUUUUUUUGUUGUUGUUAAAAACAAGGGUGAAGAUUGUUAUUCAGUAAUUAAUAGAAAGAAUAGCAGUUUACUCUCUUUUGUUGGCUAGAUGACUUUAUACUUUACUAUAAGUAAGUUUUCAACUUCUUCGACUUUGAUUGAACAUGAUAAUUUUGUCCCCAAAUCAAUCAGAAUAAAUAAGUUCAGCAAUUUUUUCUUAUUAGUUUCUGGUGGAAAGCAUGUUUCUCUGUCAUUAGCUCUUAUUUGCUUUGGUUAUAUGAAAUGUCUCCUAUAUAUUUUAACGUAGUUAUGCUCAUCUGGAUACAACUCAAUUCCUAAUCCCUUGUUUGUAGAUAAUACAUUAGAGAUAUCAAGCUGGGGGUCUGCGAAAACAGUCUCUCUAGGAGUUAGAGACAUCAAGCAACGAUGGAGUAAAAAAUCUAGUUCAUGUUCCUUAUUGUUCAACUCUAAGAGAAUAUCUAAAGAGUAAGAAACCAUUAUUGAUUGUAUCUAUCUCGGUAUUAGUAUUCAUUGGUAUCUCUAAAAUUCUGUUGUUAUGAGUGUUAUCUAUUUAAACUACAGUAGAGGACAAAUUUUGAUGUUCUAAUUAUGAUCAAUUGUCUUGUACAAAGAAUAUACAAGUAUGAUUAUUGCGCAGAAAUGCAAAAUGUAAUGUCACGUUGCAAAAAUAACUUACAACUUCUCUACUACAUCUUUUCAAUGACAUACGGAGUAUAUGGAAUCAGUUAGAAAUUAUAUAUAAUCAGACAGAGUAGUGCUUGAAAUCUCGCACCUACUGCUUCAGUUAUGUAACUCGGUUUAUCUAUUAAUAUAAAUAACUCAGUUCAUAUCAAGCAUGUACUCUUUAACAGGCCCAAAACAAGGCACCAGUAAAUUCUUCUCAUAAAUUUGGUGCCUGUAGAAAGAAAAAAAGGCAAAGCUAAAUACUUCUGUGUCAAUUUAGUCACUGAUAAACUAGGGACACUUCUGCAGCUUUUAGACCACCAUCUAAGUACAAGUAAAUCUAACUACUAUAUCCACUACUAUUCCAACAUUCCUAAUAUAACUUUAGUGCAAUGGAGGAGAAAGUGAAGGUGAAGGGAUACAGUGAAGCUCAACUCAAGAAAUGUUCAGUAACAUAAAGAUUAAAUACACCAAGUAACACGAUGAUGCUAAGUAUUUGGGCGCAUUUCUCCUAAAAGUCCCUUUACAUGGCUUUAGUAUGUGAAUUAUGACUUAAGGGGAUGGGUGGCAUGGUUAUCAAGGUAAUUGGAUGCGCAUCGGUAAAGGAAAUCAAAUCAUCAGAAUUUGAAAAGCAAAAGUUUGACCAAGUCAAUAUAAUGGUAAAUGAACUCGGACUUGAGUUUUGACUGUUUCAUUAGGUCCGAAAGGUGAUUUAUGACUUUGUUCAGUGGUUUGCACGACCCCAAGAGUCUCGGGAGUGAUUUGACCACAUUAACAUUUGGUGAAGAUGACCUCGGAUAGAUGUAUCAAGUAUUACAAUGAGUUUGUAACCAUGUUUUAGGACCGUCUCCAUGGCCUUUUUUUCUUCAACUUUUUGUAAUCAUGUACAAAAAAAAUGGGGCAACAACUUGUAACAUUGUAUGCAGCAGACAACAGUCCAUUCUAGUUCAUGAAUGACGGCAGAGACAACAACAAAAACUCAUCAAAAUUACAGAUUUCAUAAAACCCAACUCUAAUUUCCAUUCUUGGCAACUAGAAAACUCAUCAAAAUCCAUCAAAAUUCUCAUUCAUAACAACUAGAAAAUUCUCAAAACACAUCAAAUUACAGUUUUAAUAAACUCAAAACUUCAAUAAACAAGAAAAAUAUUGAACCCUAUUUUUUAAUUUUAACCUUAAAAAUAAUAAAUUACAAAGAUUUAUUACCUCUGUUGCUGCAAUCGAAGUACUUCAACUACUUUCUGCUCUUCUCAUAAAUUUGGUGCCUGUAGAAAGAAAAAAAGGCAAAGCUAAAUACUUCUGUGUCAAUUUAGUCACUGAUAAACUAGGGACACUUCUGCAGCUUUUAGACCACCAUCUAAGUACAAGUAAAUCUAACUACUAUAUCCACUACUAUUCCAACAUUCCUAAUAUAACUUUAGUGCAAUGGAGGAGAAAGUGAAGGUGAAGGGAUACAGUGAAGCUCAACUCAAGAAAUGUUCAGUAACAUAAAGAUUAAAUACACCAAGUAACACGAUGAUGCUAAGUAUUUGGGCGCAUUUCUCCUAAAAGUCCCUUUACAUGGCUUUAGUAUGUGAAUUAUGACUUAAGGGGAUGGGUGGCAUGGUUAUCAAGGUAAUUGGAUGCGCAUCGGUAAAGGAAAUCAAAUCAUCAGAAUUUGAAAAGCAAAAGUUUGACCAAGUCAAUAUAAUGGUAAAUGAACUCGGACUUGAGUUUUGACUGUUUCAUUAGGUCCGAAAGGUGAUUUAUGACUUUGUUCAGUGGUUUGCACGACCCCAAGAGUCUCGGGAGUGAUUUGACCACAUUAACAUUUGGUGAAGAUGACCUCGGAUAGAUGUAUCAAGUAUUACAAUGAGUUUGUAACCAUGUUUUAGGACCGUCUCCAUGGCCUUUUUUUCUUCAACUUUUUGUAAUCAUGUACAAAAAAAAUGGGGCAACAACUUGUAACAUUGUAUGCAGCAGACAACAGUCCAUUCUAGUUCAUGAAUGACGGCAGAGACAACAACAAAAACUCAUCAAAAUUACAGAUUUCAUAAAACCCAACUCUAAUUUCCAUUCUUGGCAACUAGAAAACUCAUCAAAAUCCAUCAAAAUUCUCAUUCAUAACAACUAGAAAAUUCUCAAAACACAUCAAAUUACAGUUUUAAUAAACUCAAAACUUCAAUAAACAAGAAAAAUAUUGAACCCUAUUUUUUAAUUUUAACCUUAAAAAUAAUAAAUUACAAAGAUUUAUUACCUCUGUUGCUGCAAUCGAAGUACUUCAACUACUUUCUGCUGCUAUCGAAGCUACAAAUAUUAAAGAAGAAAUAAAUUUUCAGAAAUGCUCAAGAGAAAAACGCGGUUUGCAUUUUGGGAAAUCAAGCGUAGAGUAUUUUGGGGGGAAAAUGUUUUUUUUGGUUGAAAAUUCUGUAAAAGUGGGACUUUUGUACUUUUGUGACAAAAAAAUAAAGGGAGGGAAAUGAAAAUAUUUUUACCCGUCUAUAUUACCCACCGUUAUUUAGCCAUAUUUUCUAAAGUGUAGAAAAAAGUUUAAUUUUUAUUUAAUUUAGCCACAGUUUUUGUAACCAUUGCUAAUAAAUGGUUAAAUGACGUUCUUUUGGUAGUGUUGAACUUGAUUUGAAGACUUGAUAAACUUGAUCUCGACUUGUACUUAAAUUCAAUGGCCUUUGAGCUUGUUCUUGAAUCUUGUAGUCUUGAUCUUGAAGCUUGAACUUGUUGUUGAAUUUUGAACUCUUGAUCUUGAAAUCUUGAGCUUGUUCUUGAACCUUGAACUCUUGAUCUUGAAAUCUUGAGCUUGUUCUUGAACCUUUAACUCUUGAUCUUGAAAUCUUGAGCUUGUUUUUGAACUAUUUGUUCUUGAACCUUGAACUCUUGAUCUUGAAAUCUUGAGCUUGUUCUUGAACUUGUAGAGAAAUAUGCUGCUUUGAUCCAGGAGCUCCUUUUGAUUCUUGUUAAACUUGUUCUUCCUUUUUUUGAAUUAUGAGGUCCCUAUUUAUAGUUGUAGGAAGUAAGGAGUCAUGAUAAAUAUGAAUUUCCUUUGACCAAUUAGAUUUAAGUGACAUGACACCUUUUAUGAACUUUUAAUUUACUGCAUCAUUUUGACAAGUGGCAUGGUCCCAUUGGCUCCUUCACUUGACUUGGCAUGCUACAUCAUUUGACAUGUGGCACCCAAUUAGGCCUCUAGAACAUGAUGAUAUCUUGGGCUUGAUAAAGUGGUCUUAGUCAUUUCUAGCCCAAAUUAAUGGACUAAUCCAAUAACAAUUGGGCUUUAAUUAAAUUCAUGCUUUUUUUGACUUAAAUGAUUAAUCCAAUUAUAUUAAUCUCCAAUAUUUGUUUGAGAUUAAUACAUUUUGAAUUUAAUAUAAUCCGAAUUUCAUAUGAAUUUAAUUUAACAAAAUUUUGUGACGUACAAAUUGCCCCCUACUUUAAGGCUAGUCAAGUGCAUACUUUAGAGACUAGACUUGAAGUAUGAUUAUUUAGGCAUGAUGUCCAAUUUCAAAGAGAUUUUGGAAAAUAUUUUACCGUCUUACUUAACCAGUAAUAAAAUUCUUCCAAUUUGGAUUUAUAUUGAAGAAGAAAACAACAUCCAAUUUAAAUUUGUAUGAAAAAAGAAAACAACUCUCAUUUUAUAUGGGAGAAGAAAAUAACCUCCAACUUGAAUUUAUAUUGGAGAUGGAAAAUCUUUCAAUUUGAAUUUGUAUUGGAGAAGAAAACAAGCUCCAAUUUGAAUUUAUAUUGGAGAUGAAAAAUCUUUCCAUUUGAAUUUGCAUGGGAGAACGAAACAACCUCCAAUUUGAAUUUGUAUUGGUGAUGGAGAAUCUUUCAAUUCAAAUUUGUAUGGGAGAAGAAAACAACCUCCAAUUUGAAUUUGUAUUGGAGAUGGAAAAUCUUCCCAAUUUGAAUUUGUAUUGGAGAUGGGGAAUCGUCCAAUUCGAAUUUGUACGGGAGAAGGGAACUCUUCCCAUCUAAAUUUGUAUGGGAGAAGGAAACCACCUCUAAUUUGAAUUUGUAUUGGAGAAUGAAACACACAUCCUACAAAUAUAUAAAAGGAUGUAGGUUCCCCACUUUUUCAUUAUCAAUUUUGGAGUUUCCAAGCCAUCAAUAAUAUUGAGGUAAUUUCUUUCGCUCCCACUUUUCUCUUAUUUUUGUCACUUUUUUCAGCACAGUAUGUUAGUGGUAGAAAAUUCAUAUCUCACUGUAAGAAUAAUAAAAUCAUGAUCCAUUUAAUGUUAUAGAAACUAGACUUCAAGAUCUACAACAUAUCCAAAAUUUAGAAUUAAAAUUAUGAUCCUGAAUUUUAUCAUGCUGAAAAUUUUAGAUCUGCACACCUCUAUUAAAAUCUUCAUAUCUCAAUGAAGGAAUGAUGAAAUCAUAAGGCGCUUGAUUUUUUAUGAAACUAGACUCAAAUAUAUAUAAAAUAUCCAAAAUUCAUGAUUUAAUACCUUCAGCAUUAUUUGAGACAAAAUUUUGAAAUUGACUUUAAAUUCUGUCAUGCUGAAAAUUUCAGAUCUGUGCGUCUUUACUAUAUUUUUAUAUCUCAAAGUAGGAGCAAUGAAAUCAUGAGCCGCUUAAUUAUUUUUGAAACUAGACUCAAAAAUAUAUAACAUAUCCAAAAUUCAUGAUUUAAAACCUUCAGAAUUAUCCUAGAUAGUUUUUUGAAGUUGUCUCUGCAUGCGGAUAUGUUUUCAAUUUCAGGUUUGCGUGGCUUCUCGAGACAAAUUAUAUCUAGACGUGGAAACGUUGAAACUGUGAGUGUCCUUUUCCAUUGGAAAGAGAACUCUAAUAUUUACAAUACUUUUGGUAGGCAAGAAAACGCAAGGAUGUAAUUUGAUCCAUCUUUGCCGAUCGAGAUACUCGCCAUAUUUAGGUGAGCAUUCCUUCUUUUUUUUUCGUUCCCCUUUUUCUUUCUUCUUCUUCGUUUUUUUUAGGUGAACUACAAUCUCUUGAGUAAGAUAACACCUUUUAUGUAAAGGAGAUAGUAUUAUGAUGCAAAGAGAUUGAUAUUCCCUACCAUAAGGUAAUCUUACGGCGCAUAGGGACGACCAUUCGUCCCCGCCAUAAGAAAAGGUAACUUUAUGGUAAUCUUACGGCGCAUAGGGACGACUACUCAUCCACGUCAUAAGAGAAGGUAAAUUUAUGGUAAUCUUACGGCGCAUAAGAAUGUAUUUUCAUCUCCGCCAUAAAAAAUGGUAAAAGAUAACUUUAUGAUAAUCUUACAGCAUAUAGGGACGACUUAUUCGUCCUUGCCAUAAGAAAGGGUAACCUUAUGGUAAUCUUAUGGCGCAUAGGGAUGGCUACUCGUCCCCGCCAUAAGAAAAGGUAAUUUCAUGAAGAUUGGAAGGUAAAAUCAAGAAGGUUUGAAGGAUUUAAAGACUUCAACUUAUAGAUCAAAGAACCCGAUGACUCCAACUUUCAAACUCUGAAAGCUUCAAUAUGGUAGACUUGAAGACUUUAACUUAUAGUCGUAGAGAAUAUGAAGACUUCAACUUGUAGACUUCAUGAACUUGCAGGUUUCAAUAUAGUGAAGUUGAAAUCUCCAACAUAAAGACUUAGUAAAUUUGAAGACUUCAACUUAUAUGCAUAGGUCAUUUGAAGACUUCAACUAUCAGACUUCGUGAACUUGCAGGCUCCAAUAUGGUAACUUGAAAGCUCCAACAUGAAGUCUUAGUGAAUUAGAAGACUUCUUAUUGAUCAAAGAACCAGAUGACUCCAACUUUUAAACUCUGAAAGCUUCACUAUGGCAGACUUGAAGACUUCAACUUAUAGUUGCAGAGCAUCUGAAGACUUUAACUUGUAGACUUUGUGAACUUGCAGGUUUCAAUAUGGUGAAGUUGAAAUCUCCAACAUAAUGACUUAGUGAAUUUGAAGAUUUCAAUUUAUAUGCAUAGGUCAUUUGAAAACUUCAACUAUCAGAUUUUGUGAACUUGCAGGCUCCAAUAUGGUAAAUUGAAGCUCCAAUAUAAAGACUUAGUGAAUUUAAAAACUUCAACUUAUAUCCAAAAAGCUUAUACUUCAUAGGGAUUUUCCCCCAUUAAGUCACCAACACUUGAUGCAAGUCUGAAGAUUGAUGAUGUUAAAAGUUUUUUGAAGACUGAAUAUUUUAUAUGAGGGGGAACAUGUAUUUUUUUGACACUCAUGCAACUGAACUCAAAAUAAAAUUCCAAGCGCACACAUACCUCAAUAAAGAGGAUCAAGUCACAACAUAGUUCUGGGGUGAGUGUUUCUUUUCGUGUCUUAAGUUUUACCUAGGCUGUAUCUUUCGAGGUUUUCAACAUGGCGGACAUUUAUUUGAUCUUUUUUUAGCCGUACACAAUUUAUACUCUUGCAGACCAGGAGUAGACAUGCAGUUUAUACUCGUGCCUUAAGGAGUGUUAUCUCCCUUUAAGGAUAGUACUUCUUCAAGAACUUGGUGUUGAUGGGGCCAACCCUUACGCCAUCUGCAUCGACAAGCUUGUAAGCACUAUUUGAAUAUACCUCUUGUACGACAUAUGGUCCAUCCCACUUCGGGGUGAAUUUUUCCCUAGACUUAUGAGAAUUGAUAAUGGGUCUUAUUACUGCAAGGAUUUGAUCUCCAACUUGGAAGCACCUCAAGCGAACCCUUUUGUUGAAAGAACGAGAUAGACGGGCUUGAUAACAUUCAAGAUUUUUUUGAGCCUCCAGCCUCUUCUCAUCAAGAUAUUCUAACUCCAUAAGAUGCAACUUAGCAUUUUCUUCAUCGGUGAGCGCUUCUUGAAUGGCCAGUCUCAAAGAAGGUAUUUGACACUCAAGUGGCAGAACUGCUUCAACUCCAAAAGUAAGUGAGCAUGGGGUUGCUUGUAUUGGUGUAUGGUAAGUUGUUCUAUAUGUCCAUAAAGCUUCUUCCAUCCGCUCAUGCCAGUCUCCUUUGGAUUUGGAGAUGACUUUUUUUAACAAAUUUCAUAAAGUUUUAUUAAAUGCUUCGGCUAGACCAUUGGCGGCAGCGUGGUACAUAGAAGACUUGUGUUGCUUGAAACCAAAGAGAUCACCAAUUCUGCUCAUCAUCUUGUUAUCAAAUGGCUUUCCAUUGUCAGUUAUUAUAUACUGAGGAAUUUUAAAGCGAUAGAUAAUAUUCACUCGGAUAAAGUUUGCAACAUUUUCUUUCUUUACUUCUUUGAGAGCAACAAUUUUGGCCCACUUUGAGAAGUAAUCUGUCGUGGUCAAGAUGUAUAAGUGUCCACCAGAAGAUUUUGGUAGUGGACCAACAACAUCCAUUCCCCAAGCAUUGAAAGGCCAAGAUGCUAUAGUUGGAUGUAGUACCUAUGGAAGUUGAUGUAUGAAAUUUGCAUGGAAUUGAUAAGCUUUGCAUCUUCUAGCAUAGUCCAAGCAAUCUUUCACCAUCAUUGGCCAAUAAUAUACCAUCCUUUUAAUGUGAAAAUAGAGCUUCGGUCUAGACUGAUGUGAUCUAUAAAAUCCCGAGUGUGCUCUUGCAAAGCUUGAAUUGCUUCUUCCUCUCCCAAGCACUGCAAGAGUAAUCCUUCAAAUGAUCUUUGAUACAAUGUGUCUUUGUAGUAAAGAAAGCGAGGUGCACGAUAAUGAAUAUCAGUUCUUCUCCUUGGAUCUUCUGGAAGUAUCCCAUAACACAAGUAGUAAAUGAUAGGUUGUCGCCAAUCUUCCUUUACAGUUUCAGACACAGUGAUGAGGUAUUAAACCUUACCUUUUAUGUCCUCAUCCUCAUUUGAUGGCGGUACUACCCAUUCUUGGUGGAUAGUAACUCAUGUUUGAUUCGGAAGAGUUAGAGUUGAUGCCAAAGCGACUAGGGCAUCAGCUUGCUUAUUUUCUUUCCUUGGCACGUGCUGGAGGGUUACUUCUCCAAGCUAUCCCAUCAACUUCUGUGCAUAAUCAUGAUAUGGUUUUAACUUAGGCUUUCAAAAUUCAUAGCUUCCCAAAAACUGCUUGAUCACCAAUUGGGAGUCACCAAAAACUUGUAAUUAUAGUUGUUUCAUGUCGAUGGCCAUCUCAAGUCUGAGUAUGAGUGCUUGAUAUUCAGCAACAUUAUUAGAGCAAUGAUUCGUCAAGGUAAAACAGUAGGGGAUGACUUCUUCUUGUGGGGUGACAAACACUACGCCAGCACCAGCUCCAUCUCGAUGUGCAGCACCUUCAAAGUAUAUCUUCCAUGGGGAUCUAAUUUCAACAGCCAUUGCAUCUUUGUCAGGAAGUUCAUCACUCAGCUCUCAGUCAUCAGGUAUUGGGUGAUCUGCCAAGAAGUCAGCCAAUGCUUGUCCUCUUACUGCUUUUUGGGGAACGUACACAAUAUCAGACUGUUGAAAUUGAAGGUACUACCUUGCAAGCCAGUCACUGAGGACUGGUUUCGACAUCACAAACUUGAUGGGAUUUUCCCUGGACACAAGACGGAAAACAUGAGCUUGAAAGUAGUAUUUCAUCUUUUGGAUAGAUAAAGCCAACGUCAAGCAUAACUUUUCAAUCGGAGAAUACUUCAGCUCAUUUGGUGUCAUCAUUCUGCUCAGAUAGUAAAGUGAGUUUUCUUUGCCUUUACUAUUUUCUUGAGCUAGUAGUGCUCCAACUGACCUCUUUUGUGCCACGAUGUAGAGUAUCAAUGGUUUUCUAGGUAUGGGUGCCGCAAGAACCGGUGGCAUUAUUAAGUAUGAUUUUAUACUCUCAAAGACGUUACUACAAGCAUGGUCCCAUUCGAAGGGAGUAUCCUUCUUCAUGAGACGACUAAAUGGUUGACAUUUUUUGGCCAAGUUUGAGAUGAACCUCCUUAAAUAUGCUAGCCUUCCUUGAAGGCUUUUUAACUCAUGAGUGUUUCAAGGCUCGGACAUCUUCAAAAUUGCAUUGACCUUAGUUUGAUCAAUUUCAAUUCCUCGGUGUCGCACAAUGAAGCCAAGAAACUUUUUGGAAGUAACUCCAAAGGCACACUUCAAUGGAUUCAUCCUAAGUUGAUAUCUUCGAAGUAACUCGAACACCAUUCUUAGUUCUUAUAAGUGGUCAUCUCUUUUUCUUAACUUCACCACUAGAUCAUCCAUGUAGCAUUCAACAUUUUUGUGGAGUAGGCCAUCAAAUAUGUUUUGCAUAGACCUUUGGUAAGUGACGCCAGCGUUCUUUAAACUAAAAGGCAUUACCUUGUAGCAAUAAAUACCUUUCAGCGUAUGAAAUGUAGUGAGCUCUUCAUCCUUUGGCGCCAUACAGAUUUGGUUGUAGCCGGUUGAACCAUCCAUGAAGGACAUUACCUCAUAACCAAUGGUGGAAUCAAUCAUUAACUCUGGUAUAGGUAUUGGAAAAUCAUCCUUAGGACAUGCAUUGUUGAGAUCUCAAAAGUUGACACAAACUCAAAUUUAGCCAUUCUUCUUCCGUACUGGAACAAUACUUGAAAUCCACGUUGGAUAUUUGACUUCACAAAUAAAGCCAGCUUCAAUGAGUUUGUUAACUUUAUUUUCGAUUAGUGGAACCAACUCUGGACUAAAGUGCCUUUGAGCUUGCUUAACAGGACAAGCACCAUUCUUGACCGCUAGCUGAUGGACCGCUACUUUUGGAUCUCAGCCAGAUAUUUCCUUAUAACUCCAAGCGAAGACAUCCAUAUAUUCUUUAAGUAUAUCCAUAUACGUGAUUUUUUCCUCCAUCUCUAGAAAAGCACUCAGGUAAGUUGGUCCUAAGAUUAACUUCUUUUAAGGGAUUUAUUGUGGCCUUCACUCCUUUUUUAAGUUGAGAUGGAGCAUCUGCAGGAUCUUCCUCCUCUUGAGGAUCAUCUUCGCUGAUGGAUAUGUGGUGACACCAGAAAGUAUCUCUCAUCUCUUCAUCAACUUUCAUUUAAGAUGAGGCCUCAUUCUUAUUUUCGGCCAUAACAUGAUCUGAGGAGCCAACACUUUCUUCAUUUUCCUCAUGUUCUUUGGUAUAAACCACAGUAUGAGCCUUUGUUUUCAACACCUUAUUGCAUGAAACUACCAGUUUCGUCUUCUGUCUCAUUCUAGAAGGAAUCAAACUUUGGAAAUCCUUCUGGAUUUUAGGCAAGGAGUGCAUUGUUUUACUUUGAUGACUUCUCUAAUGCUUGUUACUUUUAUUCUUAUUUAGAGGACCCACCCAACCUCUCAAACACAGAAUUUUUUGCGGUUGAUUCUCCAAGUCAAUCAAAGCCAGAAGGCCUUUUGUUGGAUGCGGUAGAAUUUUCUUCUAUAGUGAUGUAGUUAAUAAUCGCCCUUCUUAUGGAGAUGUGAAUUGGGGUGGUUGUGUGUAUCCUAGGCCUUCGCAUGCCUGUCUUAUUGUACCUUCCAACGGAAGUUUACCCAACCUUGAUGGCUCAUUAGGAUUAUAUCUAGCCUUUACAAAUAAUUUGUAUGUAUUUAGAUUGAAGCCCUAUUUUGUACGCUUCGUAGGGAGUGGCAUAUCUUGUGGUGGAUUUUGAGCCACAGCUUCUCCAAACAACCUUGAGGAUGGAUUUAUUGGGUCGAUCUUCCUAAUAGGUAAAGUUACCCCCUUUAGUACAUUAUCUUGGGCAUCAGAUAGAUGAGAUUUCUCUUUCUUUACCUUCGGUACGUAGCGAAGAACAGGAGUUGCCUUCUUUUUCGUAGGAAUGAUGCUUUCUUUAUUUGAAGUGGAGAAAGGCUUCUUGGUGGCGACUUUUUCAAUAGUCACCAUGACUUUUUUGGCUGGAAGAUCAUCACACUUGGACUUGGUGACAUCAUCAACCCUUUUCUCAUUCACGACAUAGUUUUUCAAGUAGAAUUUUGCAUCGGCAAAGUGUGAUUCAGCUUCAGUGAAUGGCUUAUCAUUAGCUACUAUAUUUCGUUCCACUCCACCUUCGAGGUACUUAAAGCAUUGAUAGUAAAAGGAUGAGAUAAUUUUGUUCCUGUGCACCCAAGGCCUACCAAGUAAUAUAUUGUAUAAAGUUUUGGCAUCAAUCACAUGCAUCAAUAGAUCUAAUCGAAAAUCAUCCAUACGAAUCCCUAACUUGAUAGAUCUCAUGGCCCUCUGACCCCCUUGGUUGAGACCUUGGAUAAUUAUACGACUUUCGUACAGUUCAUCAAUAGAGAUGCCAAGUUCCUUCAUAGUGCAUAUGGGCAGGAUGUUGACUCCGGAUCCCUCGUCUAUCAAGAUUCUAUUGAUCUUCUUUCCCAGAAUUUGACCUACCAUGUAAAAAGGACGGUUGUGUAGGGCUUCACCAAGAAUAAUAUCGUUAUUUGUGAAUGUGAUUUUUGUAUCACAUACAAGUGCCUCUUGGCCAAGAGGUUCAGCAAGCGGUCCAGAGGAUGAAGGAACUUCCAUGGGUAUAUUUUCACUCUUUGCACCUUUUUAGGCAUUAUUAAAAUAAGAUACCUCAAAGUUGACUUGGGCAGUCUUUACACAAAACCAACUUGGUAAGAAUCCUCUAAAGUCAUCGUACACCGAGGUUUCUGGUGGUGAGGCUCCAUUACCUUUAUAUUUUAUAGGAUCUCGACCAGCCUUUGUUUUAUUGAUUUUCUUACCAUCUUUCUCCUAGUUGGUUGCUCGACCGAUUCCUUUCGUGGACUCAUCUUCUUGCAUUUGUGCUUGGUUACCAGAGUCCAACCUUCAUCAUUGACUUUACCAACUGAAGACUUGUCAUGCUCUAAUAGCCUCUCAUUAUGCUCUUUGACACAUAUUUGGACCGGAUCAAGUGAGCCAAAAGUAAUAGAUAUUUGAUGAGAACUAGCUGUCUCAUCAUCGAGGAAGAUCUUUUUCUCGUUUGCUAAUUGCAUGACUUUGUCUUUAAAGACAAAGCACUUUUCCAGAGGGUGACCCACAAGCCUAUGGUACUUGUAAUAAUUUGGGUCAUUGGUCCUUCCAGCUUCAUCGAGAUGCUUUAUCUCUGGCAGAUUAAUGAGCUUAUGAUGAAGAAGUUCAUCAAAAAUCUUGGUAACGUCAGAAUCAAGAAAAGGGUACUCCUUUUCUUGCAUCUCCUUUAAAGUUAACCUCUGAUUUGGAUGUGGUCGAGAAGUAGUCUUCAUGCUUUGCUUCUUUCUCACCUUCGUGGUGACCUUCACAGGAGACACAUCGGCAUUUAUGGAUUUUUUAUUAUUAUUUUUGGGUACGAACUUACCCCAUCUUUUGGGUUCCUGCUUAUUCUUUCUCCUUCGAGAUUCAUGGAUAGACGCUCCUCCCUUUUCGGCAGAAGACAUGCUCAACUCCAUAUUGUGAGCAUGAGUAGCUAACUCUUCAAAGGACUUUGGUUUGAUGCCUUGCAAUAGAUAGAGGAGCUCCCAAUGUAUCCCUUGGACAUAUAUCUCUAUUGCAGAAGCUUCGCUGAGCUUAUCUUUGUAAUUUUGGCUCGCAUUUCUCCAUCGAUUGAUGAAGUUCUUGAAUGGCUCAUCCUUUUUUUGUUGAUUAUUUGUGAGCUUUACCAUGCUCACUGUACGCCUCGUGCUAUAAAAGCGAUUUAGGAACUCAUGUUCCAAUUGCUCCCAACUAUCGAUGGAGUUAGGCUCAAGGCUCGUAUACCAAUCAAAGGCAUUUCCCUUUAGGGAACAAACAAACUUCUUGACAAGAUAGUCACCAUAAGUUCCAUCAUUAUUACAUGUCUCAACAGAGUAUGCGGCAUAUUAUUUCGGGUUCCCUUUACCCUCAAAUUGUUGAAAUUUGGGCAGUUGAUAGUCGGUUGGCAUUUUGAGGCUAUCUAUCCCUGCAGUGUAGGGCUUGGCAUACACAAGGGAAGACUUAGUGACAACAUCAUACUUGUCUUUGAGGGUCCAUUCGAUGAAUUAUUUCAAUUGCUCAAUCAGGAUCAUCCCCUCAGAAGAAACUCGUACCUCUUUAGUCAGUGGUGUUUGCUUCACGGGAUGUUCUAUCUCGUGAUCCUAUGGAGAUUUUCCUGGUGCAUGCCUAGAUUCUUCAUCUAUCAGGCCUUUCACUCUAUCCACUAUCUUAUCAAUCCAAGCAUCUUGAUUCUGAACCUAUUUGGUCAGGCUCUCAAUUACCUUUGUCAGAUUCACUAGUUGCUCCUCCAUAGAUGAGGCAUCAGUCGUCAUUUCUUCAUGAACACUGGAUAUGUUGGAGAGUAAUACGUAUUAUCACAUAAGUUAAUCUUUGAAGUGCUCAGCUUACGCGGUAUAAGUGGAUAUGAUGCAUUUGUUGAACGAUCAUUGCUCUUUGUGCCAGAGUAUUUUGAACCAGAGUGCUUAAGUAGAGCAAGAGUCCUCUUAAGUGAUUUCAUCACACUGCUUCGUCCUUUCGAAGCACUUGUUUUGGACUUCAUUCCUUUUGGGGUUAAAAAUCUAAAAACUGGAGUUGGCGCAGACGACACUGAAUGUGUUUGUUGUCCUAACAUAUUUGCGUUACUCCUUAUGACAGCUCCCAAACUUCCAAAAGUAACACCAAAGAUGCUUUCUACUUCGGCGGAGUACCUUGAAUCGGUAGCCUUGAAAGCAGUUGAUUGAGAGUUGAUCUUCUUGGAAUCAUUUCAGCAUUCUUAAUCUUCAAAGUUAGAAAAGUUGAGAUGAGAGGUAGAGAUAGUCCCACUAGGCGUGCCAGAAUUUAUUGGACAGUAAAAUUUUCGAGAUCAAAAAUAAUAACUGAGACAAGAAAAAUACUACAAUAAUCGAUUUAUUGAUUUCAAUAAGUGAGUGUUACAAUCUCUAUGAUUCCUCUGAUUUACCUUUUCAACUAUAAAUUCAAGGGCUUCGAGCUUGAUCUUGAACUUUAACUUGAACUUAACGGAUUUGAUCUUGAUUUGUGCUUAUAUCUAAGGGCUUUGUAGCUUGUUCUUAAAUCUUGCGGUCUUUAUCUUGAACUUGAACUUGAUUUGAAGACUUGAUGAACUUGAUCUCAACUUGUUCUUGAAUUCAAGGGCCUUUGAGCUUGUUCUUUAAUCUUGUAGUCUUGAUCUUAAAGCUUGAACUUGUUCUUGAAUCUUGAACUCUUGAUCUUGAAAUCUUGAACUUGUUCUUGAACCCUGAACUCUUGAGCUUGUUCUUGAACCUUGAAAUCUUGAGCUUGUUUUUGAACUAUUUGUAGAGAAAUCUGUUGAUUUGAUCCAUGAGCUCUCUCUUGAUUCUUGUUAAACUUAUUGGUCCCUCUUUUGAAUUAUGAGGCCCCUAUUUAUAGUUGUAGGAAGUAAGGAGUCAUGAUAAAUAUGAGCUUCCUUUGACCAAUCAGAUUUAAGUGAUAUGACACCUUUUAUGGGCUUUUAAUUUACUGCAUCAUUUUGAUAAGUGGCAUGGUCCCAUUGGCUCCUUCACUUGACUUGGCAUGCUACAUCAUUUGACAUGUGGCACCCAAUUGGGCCUCUAGAACAUGAUGAUAUCUUGGGCUUGAUAAAGUGGGCUUAGUCAUUUCUAGCCCAAAUUAAUGGACUAACCCAACAGCAAUUGGACUUUAAUUAAAUCCAUGCAUGUUUAGACUUAAAUGACUAAUCCAAGUAUAUUAAUCUCCAAUAUUUAUUUGAGAUUAAUAUAUUUUGAAUUUAAUAUAAUCCGGAUUUCGUACAGAUAAAAUUUUAACAAAAUUUUGUUACAUACAGAUGUCUUCUUCAAAAUUAGCCUAGUACUCUACUCCAUCGUUGGCCUAUAUGAACUUGGCCUCGGAGGAGUUUUUUUAUUCUUCUUUUCAGCAUAAUUUGUUGGAUUUCUUGGCUUUUGAUUCUCAUCUCAACACCUCCCUCAAUAUGAAAGGGAGGGAAACGACGCCCAGCUUUGAGAGAAUCGAAUAAUGCGAUGGUCCAGAGAGAGCUUUGGUGAACAAAUCGUCAAGUUGAGAAGCCGACGGAACAAGUGUAAGGGAGAUAAGGCCAGAGAGAAAUUGUUGUUGCACAAAGUGACAGUCAAGAUCUACGUGCUUGGUAUGUUCAUGGAAGACCGGGUUGCGUGUUAUGUGUAUAGUUGUUUAGCUAUCAGAGUGAAUUGUAUGGGCAAUGAUGGAGAAAUGGAUAGAUCUUGAAGAAGUCUCGCCAUCCAAGUUAGUUCUACAGUAUCCCUUUUCAUGGGCCUAUAUUCAGAUUCUGCUGAGGAUAAAGAAAUAGAGGCUUGUUUCUUGAAUUUCCAAGAAAUAGUCAAGCCGACCCAAACUAAUAAAAAAACCCACUAACUGAUCUUUGUGUGUCUCGACAUGAUGCCAAAUCGACAUUACAAGAAGCAAUUAGUGAAAAAGAGAAAUCUGAAUUAAAAAAUAGAUCUUGGCCUAAAUUUACCCGUAAAUACCUCAAAACCUGGAGUGCCACUGUGAAGUGACCCACACAAGGUUGUUGCAUAUAUUGUCUCAGGGUCAGGACUACAAAUGAAAAAUCGAGCCUCUUCUGAGUGAGGUAAUUAAGCCUCCCUAUUAAUUGCCUAUAAAUUGUUGGGUAUGAUAGCGGUGGUCCUGUAGAAAGAGUGAGUUUAAAAGAAAGAUCGAGUGGGGAAGAUACCACAGGCAAGUUCGUGCAGUUAAAUUCCUGCAAUAUUUCUAAAGCAAACUUUCUUUGACUGAGGAUGCAUCCAUGUGAUUCUUGCAAAAUCGUCAUUCCAAGAAAAUAAUGUAGCUCUCCUAAGUCCUAAUUCUGAAUUCCAAAUCAAAAAAUAAUUUCAUAGCUGCAAACUUAUCUAGAUCAUUCCCAGUAAUUAAAAUAUCAUCAACAUAAACAACAAUGAUAUAAAUAAGGUUACCAUUCUUCUUAAAGAACAAAUAAUAAUUAUUUAAAGAAGAUGAAUAACCUUUGAAGCUCAAUGCACUUGCAAGCUUGGCGUACCAUUACCUAGAAGCUUGCUUGAGCCCAUACAAAGACUUUCUUAGCCUUCACACAUGAUUAGGGCUGGGAGGAAUCAUGCUAGGUGGAAACUUCAUAUACACUUCUUCUUGAAGGUUGCCAUGAAGAAAGGCAUUAUUUACAUCAAGUUGAGAAAUGGGCCAUCCUUUCUUAAUUGCAACAGCUAGAAGACAUCUAAUGAUUGUCAUCUUGAUGAUGGGGGGGAAAGUUUCAUUGUAAUUUACACCUUGCUUCUGUAUAUCCCCUCUAUUGGCAAGUUUAGCUUUGUACCUUUCAAUGGACCCAUCAGAAUACUGCUUUAUUUUGUACACCUAUUUACAAGGUAAAGCCUUCCUUCUUGUAGGUAGAACCAUCACCUCCCAUGUUUGAUUUUCAUCAAGAGCUGCAAUUUCUUUGUUCAUUGCUUCCCUCCAACUAGGGUCCAAACAAGAUUGCUAAUAACUUGUAGGCUCUGAAAAUGUACUGAUAGACCCUAGUAAGUGUUGAUUCUGAAAUGAUAAGGCCCCAAAAGAGAAAGUCGAUGAUGCUGCAGGUUGAUCAAAACAAGUAUCCAAAAUAUUUGUUAAAAAAUUAUUAUUACAAACAAAAUCAUUCAAGUAUGCAAGCUUUUUGAUUUCUCUUUGUGACCUUCUAGGAGAUUGAAUAGAGGUGUACAUUCUAAUGGGACUAGAGGCAAAAAUUUAUGGAUUAUUUGAUUUAGGACUAUUGAGAGGAGAAAUUGGGGAUGUUUGGGUUAUAGGAUACGGUUCAAGAGAUGUGGCAAGAGGAACAUCAUUAAUUUAUAGUUCUUGAUCAGGAAAGAAGAGACUGGGAAAAAUUGGUUCUGCAUUUGGUUUGAAUUUGGAAAAAGGGAAAAUGUCUUCAAAAAAAUGCACAUCUCUAGAAACAAACAUUUUCUUAGUUGAAAUAUCAAGUAACUUGUAUCCCUUUUGUCCUUGAGGAUCCUAGAAAUACACAAGUUGUAGCUCUAGGCUCAAAAUUGCUUCUAUUACUUUUUAAAGUUGAAGGAUAACACAAACAUCCAAAAACUUUCAAAGUUUUAUAGAUGGGAAACUUCCCAAAAAUGACUUGAUAGAACUCUGGAAGGUAUUCUAUUAACUAAGUGAGUGACAGUCAAGAUACAUUCUUCCCAAUAAUACUUGGGUAGAUUAGAUUUAAAAAUGAGAUCCCUUGCAAUCUCCAAUAAGUGUCUAUAUUUUCUCUCAACAAUACCAUUCUGUUGAGGAGUAGCAACACAAGAUGUUUGAUGUAGUAUGCCUUGAGAUUUAAAGAACUCACCCUCUUGUAUUCCUUUUCCAACUCCAUAGCAUUAUCAGACCUAAUCUUUUUGACCUUUACAUUAAACUGUCUUCUAAUUAUUAGUAAGAAUUCUUUCAAAAUUAAGAAGGCAUUACUCUUCACAGUCAACAGAAAUGUCCAAGUACCUCUAUUGAAAUCAUCAACAAUAGUAAGAAAGUACUUAUAGCCAUUAUAAGUGGGAAUCAUAAAAGGUCCCCAAGUGUCUAUGUGAAUUAACUCAAAUCCUCUUGGAGGCAAUUUGACUAGUAGAGAAAGGCAAUCUUGUUUGUCUUAAAAGAAAACAAAUUCACAAGCACAAGUAAAAUCAGAAGGAAGUGAAAAAAAAUUAAACUUUUUCAUUGCAGAAUAUGGCAAAUGCCCUAGUCUAGUAUGCCACAAGGAUACAUUAGAUAUUGUAUUUGCUAAGAAAGGGAAACUAACUGAAAUAGGACUCUAAAAACUUUUUUUUGAAAAAAAAACUACAUAAGAUAAACUAGCCACUUCAGAAAUAACCGACUCUAAUAGAUAUAACCCUUCUCUCGCCUCACCAAAAGCUUAUUUCCUCCUCACUAAAAGGUCCUGCAUAAUACAACUUUCAAUGUUGAAUGAAAUAAAACAAUUAAACUGUCCACAAAAUCUAUUGACAGAUAAUAGAUUAUAUUUGAAAGAAGGGACAAAAAGAAUAUUUUGCAAAGUGUAAAUAGGGAGUAUCCUAAUGCUUCCUGUAUGAGUGACUUUAAUUUUGUAAGAAUUGGAAAAAUUUAUGGUUAGAGGCAUAGGGAGAGAUGUGAGUUUGAGAAAAGAGUUUAGUCAAAACACAUAUGUUCUGAUGCUCCAUAGUCUAUUAUCCAAGACUUUAAAUUAUAAAUAGAGAAACAAGAAUCAGAGUUAUGGUACCAGCCAUAACAUUGACAUUGAUGUCUUAGAUACCACUUCCUGAUGCAUUUGUUUGUCCCUGUUAGAAUAUUUGCCUUAGUUGUGAGAUUUGAGCCUUACUUAGCUGAUUGGUGAUGUCUCAAUCAUAGGGAUCAUUCCCAUUAUUGAAACCUCCAUAUUCAUCAUUUGCGAUUGUUGCAUUACCUUUGAUUGGUCCCUGCAAUACUUUUGUGAAUUGAAAAUCAUUUGGAAACCCAAUUAGUCUAUAACAAUUAUCUGCUUAAUGUUCAGUUUUCAAGCAGUAGGUACAACUUACAUUGGGAUUGUAUUUCUUCUUCUUCACCUUUUCAUUUCAUUGUGGCUGAUUAAACCUCUGAUUUUCACUUAAAAUCUUUUGCCCCUAGGACUGGUUUCCAAGUCUUUGUUGUGAUUGAAUUUGGUUUCCAAACCUUUGUGUUUGGUUACCAAAUUUUUGUUGUUGAAUUUGAUUUCUUGCCAUGAAUAACAAACUAUUAGAUUAAAAUUGAGGAUUAACGUAGACUUCCCUUUGAUUUUCAUCUUGAAAUUAAAGGGAAUAAGUUUGAUUUAUUCUUGAAAAAGGGUUCAUCAUCAAUAUAUUUCCUCUUGCCUGAGCGUAAACAUCAUUCAAUCCCAUUAGAAAUUGAAUGAGUCUUUGGUCCCCCAUAGACUUGACCAUUUUUUGCUUUCCUUCAGACUCACAUACACAUAGAGAUGGUAAUGAGGCAGUGCGGGUGUAGUGCGGUGCGAGUUUGAAGCAAUGUGGGGAGGUGAGGGUCUUAAGCUAUGUGGGGUGGUGCGAGGGCGGUGCGGGUUUAAGUAAGUUUUUUUUUAAAUAGUACGGUGCGGUGCGGGUUGCGGGUUUAAAUUAAAAAAAGAUAAAAAUUAGUAUUAUUCUCUUGAAUACACCUAAAAUUAUAAGUAUUCUUUACUUAAAAUUUUAUGAUACUUAAAAUGACAUGUAUAUCACUACAAAUAAAUAAUUUUAUAAUUUCUUAAUAUCCCUAUUCAUUUUUUAAAAAAAUAUGAUAUUUGAUCAUUACUUGUACACGUGAUACUUUUUGAUAAUUUUUUAGUGAAAAAUGAUAUAAUAUAAAUUAGUUGUUAUUAUUUCCAAGUUGUAGAUUUGGAAAUAUUAUGAUUUUCAAUGAAGUUAUGAAUUUUUCAAAAAAAAAUAUGGGGCGGUGCGGUGCGGGUGUGAAUGUGGGGUGGCUUUAUGCGGAUUUAAAGGUGAUGUGGUGCGGGUUUAAAAUUUAUGGAUUUAGAAAAACCCGCACCGCACCAUUUCCAUCCCUACAUACUUAGUUACAAAUGCUAUGUGAUUUUGAUCGAAUCUAACUCAUGCCAUAAUCUCUUGAAUUUUGUGAAAUAUCCUGCUACAUCACUAGAUGUUUGCACUAAUUCAAUUAUUUUCUUUUGCAGGUGGUACAAUUUUGC
This 26742-nucleotide long non-coding RNA is filed under the name Capsicum annuum. RNAcentral describes it as "long non-coding RNA (CANN_LNC006289)". The record is from RNAcentral. Lineage: Eukaryota; Viridiplantae; Streptophyta; Magnoliopsida; Solanales; Solanaceae.